Molecule: ribosomal RNA, 465 nt
Filed under: uncultured bacterium
Lineage: Bacteria
Description: partial 16S ribosomal RNA
Rfam family: Bacterial small subunit ribosomal RNA
Source: RNAcentral
CCUACGGGAGGCAGCAGUGGGGAAUAUUGCGCAAUGGGCGAAAGCCUGACGCAGCGACGCCGCGUGAGGGAUGAAGGUCUUCGGAUCGUAAACCUCUGUCAGCAGGGAAGAACGGUCACUGUGCUAAUCAGCAGUGAAUUGACGGUAACUGCAAAGGAAGCACCGGCUAACUCCGUGCCAGCAGCCGCGGUAAUACGGAGGGUGCGAGCGUUAAUCGGAAUUACUGGGCGUAAAGCGAGCGUAGGCGGUAUGUCAAGUCAAGGGUGAAAUCCCCGCGCUCAACGUGGGAACUGCCUUUGAAACUGGCAAGCUGGAGUGUGUGAGAGGUUAGUGGAAUUCCAGGUGUAGGGGUGAAAUCCGUAGAUAUCUGGAGGAACAUCAGUGGCGAAGGCGACUAUCUGGCACAUAACUGACGCUGAGGCGCGAAAGCGUGGGUAGCAAACAGGAUUAGAUACCCUUGUAGUC